AAACAUCCUAUUCCAGGAACCGCGUGACCACACCGACCACCGUCCUUGAAAGAGCCCCCUCCACCGUUCAAGCGACUUCUAAGUGGAAAUUCCAAAGAGAUAAGGAAAAGGAAAUACAAUGAAGGCCGUAUAUGUAUGUAGGACACACAUUCUUCUGUCUCAAUGAUGUGCCUCAGCAACUAUGGUUUCAACUUGUAGUGCAGGAAAAAGCUGUAACUUUCUAUGCUAUUGUGGAUUCAAGCGGAUCUAAGGGGAUCACCAUGGCUCCUCUAUUAAGCCGAACUAGUCUAAUUUUAGGAAGAAAUAAUGGUUGAACAUAGCGCACCAAUAUAGAAUAGUUGUCAUGGGUGCAAAGUGUAAGUUCCAUAUUUAUGUGUAUACAGAUUCUGUCUUAUCAGCACGGUAGAAAGGAAAACCCCAGAAGAGCUGCCUUUUCUGCAAGUUUCCCUUUCAUAAAGGUGUAAACACUCUGGAUGCUCGGAUGGGUCCCUCCCUCCACUGAUCAUGUAAAUAGCUAUUUUAAUUUGCUUUCA
Long non-coding RNA from Syzygium oleosum, 533 nucleotides. RefSeq lists it as uncharacterized. The record is from RefSeq and is a predicted model, not a curated record. NCBI's taxonomy places the organism in Eukaryota, Viridiplantae, Streptophyta, Magnoliopsida, Myrtales, Myrtaceae. The transcript is spliced from 3 exons.